AUUAGAGUUUGAUCAUGGCUCAGAUUGAACGCUGGCGGCAUGCCUUACACAUGCAAGUCGAACGGCAGCACGGAGCUUGCUCUGGUGGCGAGUGGCGAACGGGUGAGUAAUAUAUCGGAACGUACCCUAGAGUGGGGGAUAACGUAGCGAAAUUACGCUAAUACCGCAUACGAUCUAAGGAUGAAAGUGGGGGAUCGCAAGACCUCAUGGCUCGUGGAGCGGCCGAUAUCUGAUUAGCUAGUUGGUAGGGUAAAAGCCUACCAAGGCAUCGAUCAGUAGCUGGUCUGAGAGGACGACCAGCCACACUGGAACUGAGACACGGUCCAGACUCCUACGGGAGGCAGCAGUGGGGAAUUUUGGACAAUGGGCGAAAGCCUGAUCCAGCAAUGCCGCGUGAGUGAAGAAGGCCUUCGGGUUGUAAAGCUCUUUUGUCAGGGAAGAAACGGUGAGAGCUAAUAUCUCUU
This 464-nucleotide ribosomal RNA is filed under the name uncultured bacterium. RNAcentral's name for it is "bacterial SSU rRNA". It matches the Rfam family "Bacterial small subunit ribosomal RNA", at positions 1 to 469 of the family's 1533-position model. The record is from RNAcentral.